AGAGUUUGAUCCUGGCUCAGGACGAACGCUGGCGGCGUGCUUAACACAUGCAAGUCGAACGGAAAGGCCCUUCGGGGUACUCGAGUGGCGAACGGGUGAGUAACACGUGGGUGAUCUGCCCUGCACUCUGGGAUAAGCCUGGGAAACUGGGUCUAAUACCGGAUAGGACCACACACUUCAUGGUGAGUGGUGCAAAGCUUUUGCGGUGUGGGAUGAGCCCGCGGCCUAUCAGCUUGUUGGUGGGGUAAUGGCCCACCAAGGCGACGACGGGUAGCCGGCCUGAGAGGGUGACCGGCCACACUGGGACUGAGAUACGGCCCAGACUCCUACGGGAGGCAGCAGUGGGGAAUAUUGCACAAUGGACGCAAGCCUGAUGCAGCGACGCCGCGUGAGGGAUGACGGCCUUCGGGUUGUAAACCUCUUUCAGUAGGGACGAAGCGAAAGUGACGGUACCUACAGAAGAAGGACCGGCCAACUACGUGCCAGCAGCCGCGGUAAUACGUAGGGUCCGAGCGUUGUCCGGAAUUACUGGGCGUAAAGAGCUCGUAGGUGGUUUGUCGCGUUGUUCGUGAAAACUCACAGCUUAACUGUGGGCGUGCGGGCGAUACGGGCAGACUAGAGUACUGCAGGGGAGACUGGAAUUCCUGGUGUAGCGGUGGAAUGCGCAGAUAUCAGGAGGAACACCGGUGGCGAAGGCGGGUCUCUGGGCAGUAACUGACGCUGAGGAGCGAAAGCGUGGGUAGCGAACAGGAUUAGAUACCCUGGUAGUCCAA
Molecule: ribosomal RNA, 773 nt
Filed under: uncultured bacterium
Lineage: Bacteria
Description: bacterial SSU rRNA
Rfam family: Bacterial small subunit ribosomal RNA
Source: RNAcentral